Molecule: long non-coding RNA, 895 nt
Filed under: Monodelphis domestica (gray short-tailed opossum)
Lineage: Eukaryota; Metazoa; Chordata; Mammalia; Didelphimorphia; Didelphidae
Description: lncRNA (ENSMODG00000050793.1)
Source: RNAcentral
UGAGUAUUCUUUAAGGCCAGACAGAAUCUUGGGAAGGUUGCCAGUUGGAAUUCUGGGUAGCUGGAGUCAAUUGGUUUUCCAACUGUCAACAGACUCCUGGAGGUUUUUUCCCUAGGAGGAGACUGUUUCUGUUCCCUGGAACACUGAAAAAAUCCAGUGGCAGGUGAAGGAGGAGAACAGUUUAUUCUUAUAGAUGAACAACUGAAGCAAACCACAUUAAGUGACCAGCCCCUGUGUCACACAGCCAUUGUCUGAGGCUAGAUUCGAACUCAUGUAGAUGACUCUCUCUGACACUCAGGGAGUUUAAGUGACUGCAAUCCAGUGACAAGGGCUUCCUUGUCAUUCCUCUCACAAGACAUUUCAUUUCUCAUCUGAGUAUUUUCACUGGCUGUCCCCCAUGCCUGAACUCUCUUCCUCCUCAACUGCAUCUUCUGGCUCAGACAGAAGGGGGACUCCUGGAGUAGACACCCCUCCAACCUCCCCAACAGGUACAAGGCCUGUUUGUUGCCCGCAACCUGGUUUAACCCCCCUGCCAAGAUGGUUUGCAAGGAUGUGACCACUGCACAGGCUAAAGCUUCUUGGAGUCAUAGGCUCUAUUCUAGGCUGGAGACACAAAGACUGAGUGAAGCUGUCUCAACUUCAAGAAACUUUCAUUCCAAGAAGAUUACGCAGAUAAUUAGAUAUAAUAUAAUUUGAGAAAGGAGAGAGAGUACUAAAUACCGAGGAGAUCAGGCAAUUUUCCUGUAGGAAAGAGGAUCAGAAUUCUUUGGUCUCAAGGGUCCUCAACUUUUGUUGUUGUGUCAUGGCAUCUUUGACAAACUGGUAAAUCCUAUGAAUCUCUUGUUAGGAUCAUGUUUUCAAAUGUCUAAAAUAAAACCAAUCCUACUGAAAUACA